RNAcentral lists this ribosomal RNA (81 nucleotides) under Ricinus communis (castor bean). The record is from RNAcentral. Lineage: Eukaryota; Viridiplantae; Streptophyta; Magnoliopsida; Malpighiales; Euphorbiaceae.
GGGUGCGAUCAUACCAGCACUAAUUCACCGGAUCCCAUCAGAACUCGGAAGUUAAACGUGCUUGGGCGAGAGUAGUACUAA